AAGGGACAAGAGACACAGAAGGAUGACAGCAAGACAGGAGUUCUGAUCAAGCUGCAAACUUUUAUUGUUCACACAGGGGUAUUUGUACGCUGGGGAUGGGGAAGCUCUCUUAUCUGCAGUUGCUGGAUGUCUGCACAAGGUGAGAUAACCGCAGGAUGUUUCAGGAAGAUAGGUGGCCACAGGAUGUCUCAGGGAGAUAGAUGGCUGCAGGGUGUCUCCCAGGCAGGAUGUCUCCCAGGGGGCUGUUUCUUGUAAGUGUCAGGCUAUUAUUUGAAGGAGAACUCCCUUCUAGUCCCUGGCAUCUCCCCCUUACUUAUAUAAAAUAUUUGACCAUACCUUAUCAGCCUGUGUCUAAUAGAGAAAUCUUUAAUUCUGUUACUUAGGGCUGGAUAACCAUACUAGCAAACAUUAGGCCUACCUGUGUAGGUUAGAAAUAAAGGCCUUAAACUAAAAACUAUUCUGGCAGUCCCUUUUGAUGGUUAUCAGGCAUUCCUGUCUGAGAAUCUCUUUUGCAGCCUCCAGUUUACUUAUUCUUGGAAGUUACAUUUAACUAUUAUUAUCAUUUAAAAUGCCCAGGAAUAGUAGUGUUUUGGCUUUGACUGUCUUUGCUAAGUGUUUAAGAUGAAGCAAGUCAAACUGACUUUUGUUUCUAUCUAUUGUUAACAGUCAGCUGAGUUUCCCUGGGAGUCCUCGGGGAACUUACAGCAGCUUUUCAGUUCUGCUAGUGCCAUUUGCGCUAGGAUGGGUCCAGGCAUUGCUUGACCAUAUGGCUUCCCUCGGAAGCAUCAGGGAUGUCUCCCUUUUCUGAUGACCCUCCUCUUCACAGCAAAUGCACUGAUUGGCUUUCUGUCCUCCACUGGUCUCAUUAAUCUCCCUGUUCAGGAGGUUAUGUGGCCUAGAGUUGCAGAGCUCUUUGGAGAAGUCCCCUAUUCCCUGACUCAGACUGACUCUGAGGGCAAGAGCCAAAUAUUGGUUUUCUUGGCCCUUUUAAUUUAACUUUAAUUUUAGAACUUAAUCUUAAACAUUCAGCAAAUAAGUUUUAAUAGCCUUAUAUAAAAAGUACUGGGCUUUAAUGUCUAUCUCUCUAUCCUGAAGAUGAUAACCCCUUAUCUUAAAUUAACCCAGGUUGUGUGUUCUUAAAUCAGUACCUCUGCAAAACAUUAACAAGCAAUCCUUAGACCACCUAUAAGCAAACUACAAACUAAAAUUAACUAGGGUAAAAACAUAUUUAGUUUAUAUAAUAGCUACCUCGAAUUUUGGCAGGGUUAUACAUUAUAAUCCCCUGUUUGAGAUCCUAGUAAUCUUGGCAAAAACCAACUUUUGGACACAACUUUAAAUGUACUGAAAUCUGGCCUACUUCUUUCAUAGUCUCAGGCUCUUUGUAAAUCUUAAGUACUAUAGUUCUGAAGCUGAUCUUUGCUUUUUAGACAUCAUUUUACAAAGCUUACAUAAAUUGUUGUUCAAGUUUACAUGAAUAUUAGCUAACACAACAUAAUAUCACAUCUGAAACAUGAAUUAAAGGCUGAAAACUUUUAAACUUUUAUAGAAAAGUAGCAAAGUACUUUUGUGUUUUACAAUAAAACCUUCACACAGAUUAGGCUCUCAUUAACUUAAAAAUACAUUUAAAUUGUAUCUCAGUGUAGAAGUAACAUGGAACUUUACAUAUCUUAUUGAUAACAAGUCCAGUUAUAGAACACAAAUGAUAUAAAUAAAUCUCCAACAUGUUUUUCUUUUAAGCCUAAAAUUACCAUACAACUUCAGAACACCAGCUUGAUAUAAUGCUCUUUUGAAGCUUCUACCUUACAGACUUGUAUACCUGGAAGAUAUGAAUUAAUAGCACCAUAAUUACAUUGAUGAUUUUAUAUUAACCAAGUUUAACUCUUAAAGAAAUAAUCAUUACAAUAUUGAAAAAUAAUAGUUGUUGUAUAACCAUAGUUGUAUAAUUUUUAAUUUCUUUAAGAUUACUUGUUCAAAAACUUACACAUAUAACCAAUUUACACAGACCUUUUUUAUCACUUACUUAAACCCUUUUGUUAACUUGAUCAUAUAGACUUUUUUAUCCAGAAACACAUUUUCCCUCUAUUAAAUCCAUAUCUAGAACUUUUUAGUUUUUCUUUUCCAUCUGUUAACCUUCUUUUUUAUUCACAUUUUGAAACAAUACUUGUAAAUUUCUGAAUUUAAGCAAUUAUUUCAUAGACAUCAACAUUUUAUUACGUUUUAUUUUUGAACACCUAGAAAAACUUAUAAGCUUAAUUUUAAAGACAUCUUUACUUUUAUCUGUUUACCCAAUUUAAAUUGAACCAUUUGAAUCACGUGAAUCAAAGAUAUUUGGAUCUGUUUUUUUUUUUUUCUGAGCGCUCCUCGUAUAUCUGCCAAUUGUCAUAUAACUGCAUGAUAUAUGGACAUAUACACAUAUAGACAUACUGACAUACAACACAUAACACAAAUGUAACACAUACACAAGGCCUUGUAGCUGUUUUUUUUUUUUCAGGUGAAAUCUCCAUUGCAAUGUUUAAAAACUCCACAGUUGAUCAAAAAUAAAACUGAUCAGAAAACAUUAACUUGCCUAUAGGAUAAAAAAAAUACAGAAUCUAAGAAAAGCAAGAGUCCUAAAAAGAUGACUGGCCAGUAAUUAGUAUAUAAGUAUAUAUACCAUACAAUUUACUUUUUGGUUUGGUCUUGUUUGAGUUCAGGUAAAAAGACACUUUUAAGAAAGGGGCAUCUGUGGGGAUGUAAACUUAAGAAAUAAGCCUGUGAGAAGGGUAGAACAUCCUUUUAAAUGUUGGCAGCACGGUCUUCCAUCUCCAGAUGAUGAUAGUGAACCUGUAUGGGCUUAGAGGCCAAAAUAUUAAUCUGUUCUUUAAUAAAUUGUACCAGCCUGUUUAUAAUGCAGGGUCCUAUGGACACCAUUAAAAGUAAAUCCAACAAAGGGCCUAAUAGUGGAAGAAGGUAGGGUAGAAAUCCAUUAAGCCCAGUCCAGAGGGGAUUUUCAAAUAGUUCCCUUCAUCUCUUUUCUAAAUCUUCUUGAAGCUGCUUAAUUUUUGUGCGUACUAUGCCUGAUUUAUUGGCAUAAAAGCAGCAUCUUUCCCCUAAGGCCAAGCAAAUACCUCCCUGGUUAGCUGUCAGCAAAUCUAAGCCUCGUCUGUUUUGAAGGACCACUUCUGCCAGGGAGUCUAUUUGGUCCUGUAAAUCUUUAAUGGUUCCUGAUAGAGUUUGUACAUCCUCUAUAAGUUUUUGAGAUAGGCGAUGGUAAGAGUGUAUAGCCGUGCCUAAGCCAGCGGUACCUGUGCCCACAGCAGCUGUUAUUCCAAGGCUGGCAAGGAGUGGUAAGGCCUGUAUUGCCUGCCUGUGUCUUUUGACUAAAGUGUCUAGGCUAGGAAUGGGUAGAGGUUCAUCUCCUGGGACAAUAGUUAUAUCAGGGAGUAAUAAGGCAAGAACAGAGCCACCGGUCCAAUACGUUGGAAGCCUGGGGAAGGCUGAGUUUCCUCCACACAUAAAAACUGUGCCAUUGGGGGGACAAAGAGAUGGGGUGGGUGAGGAAUAAUUGUUUACUGUUGAGCAAUUUCCAAAGGAAGUAACUCCAACAUCAAUACCAUAGGUAUUAUUCUGCAUCGCGCCUAAAAGACAUGAUGUAAAAAUGCCUAUAGGCUGUACUUUAAAAGGAAAUCCGGAUUGGCAUGUAUUAUCAUUGUCUAUAAUAGAAUUAAUAGGAACUGCCAUAGGCAUGAUUGCCCCUGUUUUCAUGCAGAGCCAGCAAUCACCAGCAAGGGUGGGGUUGGAAUUAUUAAGCAAGGAGAAGGUAGUUUCCAAAAUAUCUAAUGUAUUGGUAUCUAAAUCUGGGAGCUGGGAUUUAGGCAGCAUUAAGGGAUGAUAUGUGAGCUCAGGGAUUUGGGGUUUCAAAAGUUUGAUUAUCUGAAGAUGCUUGACAGCAUCAGUGGGUCCUCCACCAUCAGAGACCCCUGUAGGGGCCUUAAUGGGCCAGCAGGAGGGUUUACCGACAGUGCCUUGGCAUCCAGCUGACUGUAACUUGGUGUAUAUGCCUUCUCCUCCCUGGUCAAAGAGAACGGGAGUAUAGUGAAUAGUGGUCCCCUCUGCUGCAUGAGUUUUAGUUAGAGUGGCUUCAAAAAAUUGUUCUCCCUGCUUGUUAACACAAAUUGAGGCUGACACAUAACAAGAGACAUGCAUCGCCUGGGUAUGCGUGCAAGUUGCAGAACAAUUUUGGAGAGCUUUACUUGUACUGGGGGAAAUAAUCUUUGGCUUGUUAACACAUACCCAUUUAGGCUGAUGGUCAACCUCGGCAUGGAGGUAAGCCACCUUAGUCAAGCAGUCAGCAGUCUGGGUCCAACUAGUGGGAGCCUGAGUCCAAGAUCCUCCCUUGCAUUUGCAGGGGGCGCCAAAAAGGUACUCCAUGAUGUUGGAAGGUGGAGGGCCAAGGCCUCCGUGUACAAACCUGUUCAGCAGAAGUGCCUUAAGCAGGAUCCUCACACAGAUUGUUGGCUGCAUCUGCAAAAGAGGAAAAUUUGUCCUCAGGGGGAGGGCCUCCAUCCCUGGGUUGAGGUAAGUCAUUAACCUGUUUAACCAGGUGUUCUGGUAACCAUCUUGGGGCUGCUUGCUCUUGGUCCAAAACAGAAGCUGAGCCUCGUUCCCAGAUGAGGACAGGAUCUGGGCCUUUCCAUUUAUUUGUAAGGGGAUCGCGCCACAUAACAGGUGGGUGAACAGAUGCCAUUGUCUGUCUGCGGCCAAAUGGCCUUCACUGUCUAGGGUAAGAAAAUUAAGGGCAAAUAAUGCAUGGUUAAGGCGAUCCCAAAAUCUUUAUAUUUUAGAAUAUUAUCCUUUAAAUAGGUAUCUCUUAAUUGCCUUUAAAAAAAUAUGAUUAAGGUUAUUUCCUGUGUAGGGAGCAGUAUAUAAAUCUUACUGCAUUUUUUAUGGACAAUAGAUCUAGUCAGAGAACUUACAUAAUAACAAUGAAUUUUUAAAGUCUGUAACCUUUAUUGUUUAAAAUUAAUAUAUAACUUUAAUUUGGAGAACCUUAGUCUUAAUAAAAUGUUGUGUUUUUUUUUUUAAAUUUUAUGAUUAUCUAACAAACAAAAUAUGUAAAAAUUAGUAUCUCAGUGUCUUAGAAUCAAUUGAUUUUAGUCUCUAAGGACAAUUGUUAAAAUCGGAUUUAAGUUAGUAGUUCAAUAUACUUAAAUGUUUAAUCAACAAUGUGAAUUUAUUUACCAAAAUUAAUCUUUGUCUUAAACAGUAAGAAUUAUUAGGCAAUAAGGAUCUUUCUUUAAAGAAAUAAACUUACAUUUUAAUAGGUGCUUAUCAUGUCAAAAUAUGGACAAAAUCUUAGCUCACAUUAGUAUAGUUAAACUAGGAAAAAUAGCCUGAAAUACCCUUAAAUUAAUUAUAGUCAGUUUAGUAUAUAUAAAUCUCUUUUUUUUUAAUCGUUCUAACUUUUUACAUCAUUUGUUUAGAUAACAAUAUAAAAAUCUGUUGUUUAGAUAACAAUAUAAAAAAAACCCUAAGUAAAACUUAGGAAAAUACUUUUAUCAUUGAAAUAUGAAUAUAAAGACCUUGUUUUACCCAAAGAUGAUUUCUUUUUUCUUUUUAGGAUCCAUGUGUGCUUUUUCUUUGUUGAAGCAUCUUUUUCUUUUAGAAAAAUUUUUUUUUUUUUUUGGUUAUACUUGGAACAAUUUCUGAAAACCUUAGAAUCUAUAAACAAAUUAUUGUACUUUGAUAAGAAAUAUCAAUGAAAAUAUAGUUAAAAUCCUUAGAUAUUUUGUAGACAUAAUUAUAAUUAUUUAUCAUCUUAUGAGUUUGAACAAUAACUUUGACAAUUAGAAACUACUUGAAGAUUGUAUUUUCACUUAAAAGCACAUUUAUCUCAAAUAUCUGUAACUGAAAAGGCAGAGUAUCUGAUAAAUGUAAAUAUAAAACAUAAUUUAUGGGUUUUCUGUUGAAGAAAAACAAUUAGGCAAAUAUAUAUUAACUAAUUAAUUAGGCAUGUGCUAAUUAUUUUAUAGAUUAACAAAUAUAGGUUAUCUAAAUAUCUUAAAAUAUAUAUAUUAAGAAUAAGAACAUAACUUAAAUUGUAUUAAUUUUAUGUAACCACAUGGUCUUAAAAUAUUUGGAUCUAUUUUAAUUUAUUUUUAACUAGGAGUGCACUCUUCUAUGUGACAUCACUUGAUGUAACUGAAAUAAAAUCCUUGUUGAGUAUACAUAUUUAUUUUUUAUAGUUAGGAAUGAGAAUAAGGAUUUUUUGAUCAUCACAGGAACAUUGCCGGCUUUGUUCCUGUGGCGAGCAAAUGCAUCCUUAUAACCUCCAAAAUUAAGAGUAAAAUAUAAAGAAGCAUGUUUGAUAUCUCUCAUCAAUAGAACAUUAUUUAGUAACACAACUAUAGAGAAAAGUCAGGUUAUUUAACUCAGAACUAACUUAAAUUUAGGGCUGCAACAUAGAAAGCUGUGGAAUUAAAUUUUGUCUGAAAAAGAUAUCUUUCGUUAGCAUUUACAGGUAGGCAUUCUUAAAAAUAUAGGCUCUGAACAGCUCCGGUAGAAAUCUGAAACACAGUAGUACAGAUUAGUGGCUGGAAGGCGGGACUAGAAGUCCUGUCUGAGUGACUGUGGAAGAACAAAUCGGAAGCCCACGAAAGUGUGGAAGGUGGGACCAGGAAGCCUGCUCUUCCGGCCAGUCACCCCAUGGUUACCAUGGUGAUGCAAACAACAUGGAGUCCGCUGCCCAUUUUCGGGGCAAAAGUUCCCCAAGUUUUCCUAGCCAAUUGCAUUUUGUUUGAUUUUGUCUGCAUUUUCCCCCGCCUGGCCAAGAUCUUACCGCGGUAGCAGCUUGUUCUGUCUCUGCAACCUGCGGUUGCAGCUUGUGUACAUCCUGCACUUUUUUCUGUGACACGUGGGUGCUCCAAAGGUUUUUUAGUAGCAAACGCUGGCAUUACCAUCAGAUCUUAAGUUAGUCUGUGUUUGGCAUUUAGGUCAAGUAAUUCAAGGAUUAAAAGUACUGUUGGCCGCAGGGGCUAGGACCCCAUAGCGAGCAGCAGCGGCUAAAGUCUCUUGUCCCCAGCUGCUGAGUUAUAGCCAUUCUGAUUCAUAGGACAACCAUGUAGUAAAAAGGUCCGUACAUACUUUCUGAGUAUUGACAAAAACAAUAGAAAAUUGAAACUUAUUUCUCUCUAGGUAAACAUCACAUUUUCUCUCCCUUUUUCUCACUCUCCUAGUGCAAACUUCUAGAACAUAAAGGCCAAAAAAUAUCUCUUUUUUUUAAAGCUUUUUUUUUUUUAAUUAAUUAGUUUCCAGUAAGAAAAGGUGGGAACAGGCACCUUUUCUGGGCCAAAGGAUUCAUAAUAAUCUUUUAAACAGUCUCCAACUCUAAGCCAUCUUUUACCAUCAAUGAUCCCUUCAAGGGGAAACCAUGGACACAAUUCUCCUAUGUAUGAAAAGAAUAAUCUUAAGUCCUUUUUCUUAACACGUGCCCCCCGUGUCUUGAGGGCUUCCUUGAGGCCUGACAAAAACAACUCAUGUGACGAAACUGCUUGUCCCAUGGUGGGUCACUCACCUCCUGGAUCUGUCUCUCGGUCGUGUCUGCCGAUGCGAUCGCGAGCUCCCGCUUGGCCAAGUCUUCCCGGAAGACCGUGUUCACCCUCAGUCAAAGGCUCGAGCCCCACACUGGGCGCCAAAUGUCCCGACCAGAAGGACACAUCAAUGUGGGCCUUGAACCUAGGUGGGGAGGAAUGAAGGGACAAGAGACACAGAAGGAUGACAGCAAGACAGGAGUUCUGAUCAAGCUGCAAACUUUUAUUGUUCACACAGGGGUAUUUGUACGCUGGGGAUGGGGAAGCUCUCUUAUCUGCAGUUGCUGGAUGUCUGCACAAGGUGAGAUAACCGCAGGAUGUUUCAGGAAGAUAGGUGGCCGCAGGAUGUCUCAGGGAGAUAGAUGGCUGCAGGGUGUCUCCCAGGCAGGAUGUCUCCCAGGGGGCUGUUUCUUGUAAGUGUCAGGCUAUUCUUUGAAGAAGAACUCCCUUCUAGUCCCUGGCAGCCCAGGAACAGCUGUGUUUUGGCUUUAACUGUCUUUGCUAAGUGUUUAAGAUGAAGCAAGUCAAACUGACUUUUGUUUUUACCUAUUGUUAACAGUCAGCUGAGUUUCCCUGGGAGUCCUCGGGGAAUUUACAGCAGCUUCUCAGUUCUGCUAGUGCCAUUUGCGCUAGGAUAGGUCCAGGCCUUGCUUGACCAUGUGGCUUCCCUUGGAAGCAUCAGGGAUGUUUCCCCUUUCUGAUGACCCUCCUCUUCACAGCAAAUGCACCGAUUGGCCUUCUGUCCUCCACUGGUCUCAUUAAUCUCCCUGAUCAGGAGUGGCCUAGAGUUGCAGAGCCCUUUGGAGAAGUCCCCUAUUCCCUGAUUCAGACUGACUCUGAGGGCAAGAGCCAAAUAUUGGUUUUCUUGGCCCUUUUAAUUUAACUAAUUUUAAAAACUUGAUCUUAAACAUCCAGCAAAUAAGAUAACAGCCUUAUAUUGAGAGCACUGGGCUUUAAUGUCUAUCUCUCUAUCCUGUAGGUGAUAACUCCUUAUCUUAAGUUGACCCAGGUUGUGAGUUCUUAAAGCAGUACCUCUUUAAAACAUUAACAGGCAAUCCUUAAACCAUCUAUAAGCAAACUACAAAACAAAACUAACUAGGGUAAAAACAUAUUUAGCUUAUAUAAUAGCUACCUUGAAUUCUGGCAGGGUUAUACAUCAUAAUUCCCUGUUUGAGAUCCUGGUAAUCGUGACAAAAACCAACUUUUGGACACAACUUUAAAUGUACUGAAAUCUGGCCUACUUCUUUCAUAGUCACUUUCACAUGUAGUGAGAUGGGACAGAGCCUUAUCUCAAGUAAGGCAGGGCUCUUUAUAAAUCUCAAGUACUAUAGUUCUGAAGCUGAUCAUUUUACAAAGUUUACAUAAAUUGUUGUUCAAGUUUACAUGAACAUUAGCUAACACAACAUAAUAUCACACCUAAAACAUGAAUUAAAGGCUGAAAGCUUUUAACCUCUUGUAGAAAAGUAGUAAUGUACUUUUGUGUUUUGCAAUAAAACCUUCACACAGAUUAGGCUCUCAUUAACUUAAAAAUACAUUUAAAUUGUAUCUCAGUGUAAAAAGUAACAUAGAACUUUACAUAUCUUAUUGAUAACAAGUCCAGUUAUAGAACACAAAUGAUAUAAAUAAAUCUCCAACAUGUUUUUUUCUUUUUAAGCCUAAAAUUACCAUACAACUUUAGAACACCAGCUUGAUAUAAUGUUCUUUUGAAGCUUCUACCUUACAGACUUGUAUACCUGGAAGAUAUGAACACAUUAAUAGCACCAUAAUUACAUUGAUGUUUUUAUAUUAACCGAGGUUAGCUUUUAAAGUAACAACAUUACAAUAUUGAAAAAUAACAGCUGUUGUUUAACCAUAGUUGUAUAAUCUUUAAUUUCUUUAAGAUUAUUUGCUCAAAAACUUACACACAUAACCAACUUACACAAACCUUUUUUAUCACUUACUUAAACCUUCUUAAUUACUUAAUCACAUAGACUCUCUUAUCCA
RNAcentral lists this long non-coding RNA (9551 nucleotides) under Marmota monax (woodchuck). Lineage: Eukaryota; Metazoa; Chordata; Mammalia; Rodentia; Sciuridae. The record is from RNAcentral.